This 465-nucleotide ribosomal RNA is filed under the name uncultured bacterium. RNAcentral describes it as "partial 16S ribosomal RNA". It matches the Rfam family "Bacterial small subunit ribosomal RNA", at positions 28 to 507 of the family's 1533-position model. The record is from RNAcentral.
GACGAACGCUGGCGGCGUGCUUAACACAUGCAAGUCGUACGGUAAGGCCCUUUCGGGGGUACACGAGUGGCGAACGGGUGCGUAACACGUGAGUAACCUGCCCACAACUUUGGGAUAACGCUAGGAAACUGGUGCUAAUACUGGAUAUGUGCUCCUGCUGCAUGGUGGGGGUUGGAAAGCUCCGGCGGUUGUGGAUGGACUCGCGGCCUAUCAGCUUGUUGGUGGGGUAGUGGCCUACCAAGGCGGCGACGGGUAGCCGGCCUGAGAGGGUGACCGGCCACAUUGGGACUGAGAUACGGCCCAGACUCCUACGGGAGGCAGCAGUGGGGAAUAUUGCACAAUGGGCGCAAGCCGGAUGCAGCAACGCCGCGGGCGGGAUGACGGCCUUCGGGUUGUAAACCGCUUUCAGCAGGGACGAAGCUUUUUGUGACGGUACCUGCAGAAGAAGCACCGGCUAACUACGUG